Scaptodrosophila lebanonensis is the source of this 244-nucleotide long non-coding RNA. RefSeq lists it as uncharacterized. The record is from RefSeq and is a predicted model, not a curated record. NCBI's taxonomy places the organism in Eukaryota, Metazoa, Arthropoda, Insecta, Diptera, Drosophilidae. The transcript is spliced from 3 exons.
GGCAAAUGUAAGCCACCGACCAACUAACUAUCCAUUAAUUUUUAAAUAAUUAGUAUUUGAAUAAUAACUUGCGAAGUUUUGCUUGUCAUUCCACAUAUGUUUCACCCUCUCGGCCACCGUUGAGCAGGCUAUACGCGAAAACCACGUUGCAUGCGUAAAUGGCCAAACCAUCUAUUGACCAAUCCUCAUUUUACCGCUGGUAGGAAAAAAUGGUGCAACUACGUCCUAUAAUUGAAAAUUUUUU